RNAcentral lists this ribosomal RNA (492 nucleotides) under uncultured bacterium. Its description in RNAcentral is "partial 16S ribosomal RNA". It matches the Rfam family "Bacterial small subunit ribosomal RNA", at positions 29 to 507 of the family's 1533-position model. The record is from RNAcentral.
AGUGAACGCUGGCGGUAGGCCUAACACAUGCAAGUCGAACGGCAGCACAGUAAGAGCUUGCUCUUACGGGUGGCGAGUGGCGGACGGGUGAGGAAUACAUCGGAAUCUACUUUUUCGUGGGGGAUAACGUAGGGAAACUUACGCUAAUACCGCAUACGACCUACGGGUGAAAGCAGGGGAUCUUCGGACCUUGCGCGAUUGAAUGAGCCGAUGUCGGAUUAGCUAGUUGGCGGGGUAAAGGCCCACCAAGGCGACGAUCCGUAGCUGGUCUGAGAGGAUGAUAGGCCACACUAGAACUGAGACACGGUCCAGACUCCUACGGGAGGCAGCAGUGGGGAAUAUGGGACAAUGGGCGCAAGCCUGAUCCAGCCAGACCGCGUGGGUGAAGGAGGCCUUCGGGUUGUAAAGCCCUUUUGUUGGGAGAGAAAAGCAGCAGGUUAAUACGACGCUGUUCUGACGGUACCCGAAGAAUAAGCACCGGCUAACUUCGUG